Long non-coding RNA from Grammomys surdaster, 1595 nucleotides. RefSeq lists it as uncharacterized. The record is from RefSeq and is a predicted model, not a curated record. The transcript has 3 exons. NCBI's taxonomy places the organism in Eukaryota, Metazoa, Chordata, Mammalia, Rodentia, Muridae.
UUCCGGGAGGUGUUUGUACACACAGCCCACAGGCCAGCAGCCCCUCUUCUCUCCUCCUCAGGGAAGGGCCAGGACAACAGGGCUGCUAACAACAGAUUUCAUGACACAGUCACCUCUGAGCUCUGUGAAGCCAAAGAAAGCCUGUUGGGGAGAGAACUGGAGAAUGGCCAUAUUCACCAGAGACAGCUCGCAAGAGGUCUACUUACCCACUGUCCAAUAGCGGCCCUCUCAAACUAAGGGAUACAUGGAGUCUAGAGCCCCAGCUGCCUACCCCACACUGCCCCAGUAGGUCCUGGCAUUUUCCUGCUGCACAGGUAUUCAGGAGGUAUUUCCAUGGCACGGGGCUCUGGAGCAAGUCUUCCAUGCAGUUUAGGUCAGCCUGUACCCUGGACCAGGAGGCAUAGACCACUGAUACCAGCUUACUAGCUAUGAAGACAUUUGGGAAGCAUGACACAAUGGCCCUGACUGCCUGCUUAAAAGUUUCUGAAGACUUCUGAUCCACAUGGACACAGUAUAUGUUCUGAGGGGUAUACACAGCUCGCAGCAACCUUUCAAAGUUCUCAAUCUUCUCAUGAACCACCAUUGAGUACGCAAUGGGGAAGUUGGCCUCUUCUUUGCUCAGUGGGACCUGUAUAAACUUCCUCUUGUUCUUGAAGUACUCACAAUCUGCUGUCAUGCUAAGGUAGUCGGCCUCUGUGAAGAGCUGCCGCUUCUUCUUAAUUUCCAGGUUAUUCAGCAGAGCCUGGGUCACUGCUUUCUGCUCCCCUCGAAUGACCCCUGAACAGUUGAUGGAACUCUGUGCUGGCAGCUUCAGGGUCUUAUACAGGAAAUCCCUGCAGUACUGGCUUUGAAAUUCCUCUGAGUCCAGAUCCAUGACAUCGAAAUCACACUUCAAUCUGAGGGACAGUUUCAGGGCAAUGAUGGCCAGCAGCAUGUAGCAGCCCAGGGUCCACACAUGAUAGUGCCAACAGAGCCUCCUCCAUGAAACCAUCUUCACAGGUGGGGACCAUCAAGCCUCGCCCAGCAGAGGAGGGGGUGGGCUCUCUAAACAAAACAAAGAGCCUCUGAUUAUAAACUAAACAUGUUCCAAGGAAUGUCAAGUUCAACUCCAGACUUCUGAUGGCAGAAAAGAUCUCUUCUCUAGAGAAAUAGCUUAGUGAAAACCAGGCAAGGAACCCAUCCACCAGGCUUGCUGAGGGAGACUUAAAACUGCCCUACAAAGCAGCUGCCAGACUGCCACAGGGACCAGUUCUACCCUUACUCUGGAGACAGGGAAACAUGGAGCUGGGCUCCCUGAGGUUAAAGGUGCAGUUAGCUGGAGGAAGUAUCUACCCUUCAUCCGUUUUCCUCCUUCCCACCCCUUGCUGCCCUAGAAUGAACUUUCAUUUGGGGUCCAGAAUUUCUGGGUCUGAAAACAAAUUAUAUGAAAUUGACUACCAUCAGUUCUAGAAUCAAGCCCCUUUAAAAGGAAGCAAUAUUUCUUGCUUCUGUUUGUUAAUCUCUAUAUUAAGACUCUUCACAUCCCGUAUCAUUCAAAACUCAGAUCCUGUCUCUGGCUAACCUUUCAUUUUAAAAUAUCCUUAAAGAAAUAUUAA